AACGCACGAGACCUGCGGACCUGCGGAGGGAUCAUUACAGAGUUGCAAAACUCCCUAACCCUUGUGAACAUACCUGUACGUCGUUGCUUCGGCGGGUAGCCCCUUUACGGGGCCUCGACCUCCCAGCGAGGUUGCCCGCCGGAGGACCACACAAAACUCUUGAAUUAAUGGCUUCUCUGAGUAUUAAUCAAAUAAGUUAAAACUUUUAACAAUGGAUCUCU
Molecule: unclassified non-coding RNA, 221 nt
Filed under: soil metagenome
Description: partial contains 5.8S ribosomal RNA, internal transcribed spacer 2, and large subunit ribosomal RNA
Source: RNAcentral